AUGGCGCCCGAGGUGCACCUCGACCCCGUCGUCGCCCCAGCCGCUGCCGGCGAGCAGCAGCAACCAGCAGGCCGUCCUCGCCGUCCCUGCUCUUUCUGUCAGCCCUCCUCUUCGAUUUCCUCACGUGGCUCUCCCUCUAAGCUCUGCCCUUGCCCUCUUCUUCGCAGGAAAUCGAGCCCCACAGCGACGCCAUGA
RNAcentral lists this ribosomal RNA (195 nucleotides) under Triticum aestivum (bread wheat). RNAcentral describes it as "partial small subunit ribosomal RNA". The record is from RNAcentral. Lineage: Eukaryota; Viridiplantae; Streptophyta; Magnoliopsida; Poales; Poaceae.